This 164-nucleotide ribosomal RNA is filed under the name uncultured bacterium. Its description in RNAcentral is "partial 16S rRNA". It matches the Rfam family "Bacterial small subunit ribosomal RNA", at positions 355 to 511 of the family's 1533-position model. The record is from RNAcentral.
UAGGGAAUCUUCCACAAUGGGCGCAAGCCUGAUGGAGCAACACCGCGUGAGUGAAGAAGGGUUUCGGCUCGUAAUGCUCUGUUGUUAAAGAAGAACACGUAUGAGAGUAACUGUUCAUACGUUGACGGUAUUUAACCAGAAAGUCACGGCUAACUACGUGCCAG